This 497-nucleotide ribosomal RNA is filed under the name uncultured bacterium. Its description in RNAcentral is "partial 16S ribosomal RNA". It matches the Rfam family "Bacterial small subunit ribosomal RNA", at positions 28 to 507 of the family's 1533-position model. The record is from RNAcentral.
GAUGAACGCUGGCGGCGUGCCUAAUACAUGCAAGUCGAGCGAACAGAUAAGGAGCUUGCUCCUUUGACGUUAGCGGCGGACGGGUGAGUAACACGUGGGUAACCUACCUAUAAGACUGGAAUAACUCCGGGAAACCGGGGCUAAUGCCGGAUAACAUUUAGAACCGCAUGGUUCUAAAGUGAAAGAUGGUUUUGCUAUCACUUAUAGAUGGACCCGCGCCGUAUUAGCUAGUUGGUAAGGUAACGGCUUACCAAGGCAACGAUACGUAGCCGACCUGAGAGGGUGGUCGGCCACACUGGAACUGAGACACGGUCCAGACUCCUACGGGAGGCAGCAGUAGGGAAUCUUCCGCAAUGGGCGAAAGCCUGACGGAGCAACGCCGCGUGAGUGAUGAAGGUCUUCGGAGCGUAAAACUCUGUUAUUAGGGAAGAACAAAUGUGUAAGUAACUGUGCACGUCUUGACGGUACCUAAUCAGAAAGCCACGGCUAACUACGUG